This 718-nucleotide long non-coding RNA is filed under the name Olea europaea subsp. europaea. Lineage: Eukaryota; Viridiplantae; Streptophyta; Magnoliopsida; Lamiales; Oleaceae. The record is from RNAcentral.
GUCAUCAUCCAAUACAUGAAAUUAUUUAGCCUAACAUAAUGUUGGGAUUAAACAAAUAAAAGUGAAAAAACAUCACCGAAAUUUGAUGGAACGUGAUUAACUUGUAAAGGCCAAACGUGAUUAACUUGUAAAGGCCAAGCGUGUAUGUAAUUUUUUCCAAUUUCUAUGCCUUUUGCCGUGUGCAAUUUCACCCUUGCAAUCACCAACUUUGUAUCUAGAUUAAAUAAUUCAGCCACCCAAUGUGUAUAUCUAUUCCAUUCCAGCAGCUCAAAUUUUUUUCUGUCUUCUCCAAUAAAUACCAGGUAGCCGCAAUUCCUUUUCUAUUUCUCCACUUUCUUUUCCGCUCAAGCUGCUGUUAUUGUUGUGUAUAUAUAAUUUAAGGUAGCAACCAGUUUGUAUUUUUUUGUCAACUCCCCUCCAAUCUGCUGCCCAAUUAUAGGUGUGAAUCCCUCAACAAUUUCCUAAGCAGCUGCCUUUUAUACUCCAACCGUAGCCGACGUCUUCCACUCCAAUUUUUUUCCCAGCGUUUUUCCCCUUUCUGCCGACACCAAUCUGUAAAUACAAAUAAUAGAAUUCAACCCCAGCCGGCAGCCCCUGGAUGUGUGCGAAAAUUAUAAUAAUGGCUAUCCCUGUUUCUCUCGGUAGGCGCAUAUAUAUACUUCCAAUCAGCAGAGUAAUUUUCUUCACAAAAGUAUUCCAAUACCAUCCCUAAUUUCCA